UAAAGUCUAAUUAGCUACAUAUAAGUAGUUAAUUGGGUGACGUUUUUUUGUCGCAAGUACUAAUUGUGGGCUUCAAUGCUUGUGGUUAGUCGCUUGCGAAGCGUGCCUUGAAUAAAGCAAAGUGCUCAACGCAAGCGUAACGCUAAUAUGUAAUAGCAUGGAACGAAUUGAAAUGUGCAGGCGUUAGUUUAGUUAGUUGGUGGGGCUGCAAACUUUACAUGUAGCCUACCUUGCAAGCAAUUGCUCGGUAUUAUUAUGUGUCUUGUGUGUAGUCCGCCGAUUGGUCUGUGUUCAAUGGGUUGCCGGGGUGGUUAAACAUUCCGGUUGGACGUUGGACGCUCACAGGCCAUUCGGUACUAAACUGCCUGUCGGUUAAGAGGGACAUUUGAGGGCGUUAGUACUUGGAGGCGAGAGGUGAAAUUCUUAGACCCUCCAAAGACUGACAAAUGCGAAAGCAUUCGCCAAGAGUGUUUUCAUUGAUCAAGAACGAAAGUUGGAGGUUCGAAGACGAUCAGAUACCGUCCUAGUUCCAUACAGUAAACGAUGCCAACACGCGAUCAGUCUGAAGUAAUUUGGAUUGAGGUUGGUCGCCCAGGGAAACUGUAAGUGUUCUGGUUGUGGGGAGAGUACGGUCGCAAGGUUGAAAUUUAAAGGAAUUG
Molecule: ribosomal RNA, 659 nt
Filed under: Parvicapsulidae gen. sp. EK-2011
Lineage: Eukaryota; Metazoa; Cnidaria; Myxozoa; Bivalvulida; Parvicapsulidae
Description: SSU rRNA
Rfam family: Eukaryotic small subunit ribosomal RNA
Source: RNAcentral